CCGUAGGUGAACCUGCGGAGGGAUCAUUACUGAGUUAUCAAAACUCCAAACCCUUUGUGAACCUUACCGUCGUUGCCUCGGCGUGAGCUACGGCUACCCUGUAACUACCCUGGAGCUACCCUAGAGUUACCCUAUAGCUACCCUGCACUUACCCUGCAGCUACCCUAUAGCUACCCUAGAGCUACCCUGGAGCUACCCUGUAGUCGGCUUCGGCCCGCCGAAGGACCGUUAAACUCUUGUUUUUACCACUGUUUCUCUGAAUUUUAAACCAAAAUAAGUUAAAACUUUCAACAACGGAUCUCUUGGUUCUGGCAUCGAUGAAGAACGCAGCGAAAUGCGAUAAGUAAUGUGAAUUGCAGAAUUCAGUGAGUCAUCGAAUCUUUGAACGCACAUUGCGGCCAUUAGUAUUCUAGUGGGCAUGCCUAUUCGAGCGUCAUUUCGACCCCUAAGCCCCUGUUGCUUAGCGUUGGGAAUCUACGGCGUAGUUCCUCAAAGUUAGUGGCGGAGUUAGGGUACACUCUCAGCGUAGUAAUUUCUCUCGCUCGUGUGGUGGCCCUGGCUGCUAGCCGUUAAAACCCCUAUAUUUUCUAGUGGUUGACCUCGGAUUAGGUAGGAAUACCCGCUGAACUUAAGCAUAUCAAUAAGCGGAGGA
RNAcentral lists this ribosomal RNA (652 nucleotides) under fungal sp. ARIZ L460clb. Its description in RNAcentral is "eukaryotic LSU rRNA". The stretch from base 283 to 436 matches the Rfam family "5.8S ribosomal RNA". The record is from RNAcentral. Lineage: Eukaryota; Fungi.